AGCCGGCUGGCCCCAGCUCGCUCCUCCCGCUGGCCCGGGCCGCCCCCCACCCUAUCCCACUCCCCACCCAACCGCAGGACUUAGGGGCGAUGGCGCUGGAAGCAGCCCCCUUGUCCCGGCUGCGCAGCCGGCGCGCCGCCUUGCUGAAAAAGGGGGUCAGUUUUGACUGCGAGAGCGAAGGAGACCAUUCCGUCUCGGAAGAUCUGGGCUGUAGACGAGGAGAAUUCAGUCGGAAACAUUACGGUUCAGUCGAGCUGCUUAUCUCCAGCGACGCCGAUGGAGCCAUUCAAAGGGCUGGCCGGUUCCGGGUGGAAAAUGGCUCUGUGGAUGAGAACGCCGAUUAUACUCCCGGGACGUGGCACAGAACGGAUGUCCACUUGGAGAACCCAGGAUAUCAUACCAGAUGGUACUUCAAGUAUUUCCUAGGAAAAGUUCAUCAGAACUAUGUCGGCAUGGAUGCAGAAAAGAACCCCUUUUUCUUAUCCGUCGUGCUCUCUGACCAAAACAAUCAGCGUGUCCCACAAUACCGAGCGAUCCUCUGGAGGAAAACAGGUACCCAGAAAAUUUGCCUCCCAUACAGCCCGACGAAAACCUUGUCUGUAAAAUCCAUUUUAAGUGCCAUGAAUCUUGACAAAUUCGAGAAAGGGCCUCGGGAGAUCCUUCACCCGGAAAUUCAAAAGGAUUUAUUAGUCCUAGAAGAGCAAGAGGGCUCUGUCAAUUUCAAAUUUGGAAUUCUUUAUGCCAAAGACGGACAGCUGACGGAUGAUGAAAUGUUUAGCAAUGAAACCGGAAGUGAAACUUUUCAGAGGCUGUUGAGUCUCUUGGGGGACACGGUGACUCUCAAGGGCUGGACCGGCUACCGAGGAGGACUGGACACCAAAAACGACACAACAGGGAUUUAUUCCAUCUACACCGUCUACCAAGGGCACGAGAUCAUGUUCCAUGUCUCAACCAUGCUUCCAUACUCCAAGGAGAACAAACAGCAAGUAGAAAGAAAGAGGCACAUCGGAAAUGACAUUGUCACCAUCGUGUUCCAGGAAGGGGAAGAAGCCUCACCAGCUUUCAAACCGUCCAUGAUCCGUUCUCACUUUACACAUAUUUUUGCCUUAGUGCGGUACAAUAAACAAAGCGAUAGCUACAGACUGAAAAUUUUUUCGGAAGAAAGCGUUCCUCUUUUUGGACCCCCGCUUCCCUCCCCGCCGGUGUUCACCGACCACCAGGAGUUCAGGGAUUUCCUUCUGGUAAAAUUAAUCAAUGGGGAGAAAGCCACCUUGGAAACGCCGACUUUUGCUCAGAAGCGACAACGGACGCUAGACAUGCUAAUCCGCUCCUUAUACCAGGAUCUCAUGCCCGACAUGCACAAGAACAUGCUGAACAGGAGAUCCUUCAGCGACGUCUUGCCUGAAUCCCCCAAAUCAGCUCGGAAGAAAGAAGAAGCUCGGCAAGCAGAAUUUGUCCGGCUUGGCCAGGCCCUCAAACUGAAGAGCAUUGUGAGGGGGGACGCCCCAACUAUUUUAGCCACGACCAGCCUCUGUAAAAAGGAGCCCUGGGAGUCGCAAUGCUUCUGCAGCAAUUUCCAGCAUGAAGUCAUUUGUGCUGAUUCCUGGGGACAGUCCCUGCUUGUCUCAACAGAUGUUGGUGUCUUUCUCUUAGACGAUGGACAACCUCCCAUCCCAGUGUUUGAUAAAACAUUACAGAUCAAACAGAUGCACGUCCUAGAAACGUUGGACCUUCUAAUCACCAGAGCAGACAAAGGGAAGGAGGCACGGCUUCUGGUGUUCAGGCUGAAUGCUCUAUGGAAAGGCAUCGAAGCGAAGUUGACCCGGAGCAAAAGCGAUUGCCGAGAAAACAAGUUGGAGAAAACGAAAGGCUGCCAUCUCUACGCCAUCAACACUCACCACAGCAAUGAACUACGGAUCAUCGUCGCGAUUCGGAACAAGCUCCUUCUCGUCACCCGGAAGUUCAGGCGGUGGGAGACUCUGAACGGUGCACCCUUGGCGUCCCCCCAGUCCGAAUCCCCCAUAGAGGAGUUCCAAUACAUCAGGGAAAUCUGCUUAUCCGACCCACCUGUGGUCAUGACAUUGGUGGAUGGCCCCACCGGCGAAAAUGACAACCUGAUCUGUGUGGCCUACCGACACCAGUUUGACCUGGUCAGCGAGAGCACGGGCGAGUGCUACCGGAUGCACAAUGUGGACGCGAGCAGGGUUAAUUUUGUUGCAGCUAUUGAUGUAUAUGAAGAUGGAGAAGCUAGCCUCCUUUUGUGCUACAAUUAUGUUUGCUAUUACCGUAAAGUGUGUCCCUUCAACGGAGGCACGGCUCUGGUCCAGCCCCUGGCCUCAGACUACCAUUUCAGCUGGAACCAAGUUCCUUACGCGAUCGUUUGCGCCUUUCCUUACAUCUUGGCCUUCACUACUGACUCCAUCGAGAUCCGGUUGGUGGUGAACGGGAACCUGGUUCAUACAGCUGUGGUCCCAGCCUUGCAGCUGGUGGCAUCGAGGUCAGAUAUCUACUUCCGAGCUGCCACAGCAGUGAGCGAGGUGUCCAACAGCAGUUCGAAGGAGACCAGCUCGCCAGGAUCCCCUCAGACGCCUUCCGUCCAGGAAAAUCUGAUUUUCUCUCCUUCCGCAGCAGAAGGUGAAGCUUUGUGCAGGAAUAUCUACAAAAUCCCCCUCAGCAAUCUGGUUGGCCGGAGCAUCGAGCGCCCGCUCAAGUCUCCGAUGGUGCCCAAGGUCAUCACCACCCCGACGUCAUCUGGCAUGGCCCCGAUUCCGGUGGCACCUUCCCUCUCCUUGUCGCGGAUAGAGAUCAAAGAGAUUGCCAGCCGAACCCGCAAGGAAUUGCUCGGUCUCUUAAACGAUCCUUCUUCGAAGUCCGAAAGUGGCCCAAAGCAGAAGAAGCUUCCAUCAAAACAAUCAGACCCCCCCAAACAGGGAACUCUACGGUCCUCCAGCAGUGACAGGCUUGUGGUAACCUCCUUUGAGAGCACUUCUGAAGAGCCUCACUUCUCUACCGUUUCAGAUGUUGACCCCGUCCCGCUGGCGGAGGAGAAGGAGGAGGAGAAGGAGGAGGAGAAGGAGGAGGGCCUGCCCAGCGCUCGCUUCCAACUCGGGGCCUCAUUUGAUGAAGGUGUCAUUGACUUGAAGUGAAGACAGCUGUGAGGACCCAUUUUUGCACGCACUCGCCUUCCCCCCACCCCCACCCAAGUUCUCUGCCAUCGGCCCCCACCCUGCCCGCCCCCAUUUUGUACAGCGCUCUUAAAACGGUAUCCGUCACAGCCAGAAGUCCUAGUAAUUUUAGAAGUCGUCACCACAUGCAAUCCAAGAGAGGGGCCCAGGGAUCCAACUUGGGAGGACUGAAUUGUCUCAGUCGAUCGAUGGAUUGAACCAGAGGCCAACUCUGGAUGCCUGAAUUGUUUCAGUUGAUCGAUUGAUUGAAUGAGAAGCCAGCUCUGGACGCCCAAAUUGUUUCAAUCGAUCGAUUGAUCGAACAAGAGGCUAACUCUGGGAAGCCUGAAUUGUGUCAAUUGAUAAAUUGAUUGAAUGAGAGGCCAGCUCUGGAUGUUUGAAUUGUUUCAAUCAAAUCGAUUGAUCGAACAAGAGGCCAACUGGAUACCCGGAUUAUUUCAAUUGAUCAACUGAUUGAACGAGAGGUCAACUCUGGAUGCCUGAAUUGUCUCAGUUGAUAAAUUGAUUGAAUGAGAGGCCAGCUCUGGAUGUUCAAAUUGUUUCAAUCGAUCGAUUGAUUGAACGAGAGGCUAGUUCUGGAUGCCCAAAUUGUUUCAAUCGAUCAAUCAAUUGAUUGAACGAGAGGCCAGUUCUGGAUAUCCGAAUUGUCUCAGUUGAUCGAUUGAUCGAACAAGAGGCUAAGGAUGUGUGUGUAUGUGUGUGUGUAUUCUUUUUGGUGACGAGAGCGGUCACCCAAUUUUUUGUGUGGUGUUGUUGGGGGGGGAAAAGGCUUUGGGCGAAGGAUCGGAUGAGUUUUAAUCAGUGAAUUGAUUAAACCUCUAUGUUUUCACAUGGAACAUGGAUUUUGAGGAACAGACUGCUGACAGUUCAGGGGUGGGCCAAAUUCUAAGUGCCCCCUUCCUUCAUGGCAACGACCAAGAGUCACGUUCCUUUUCUCCAUCAGCGCUGAGGGAUGGUGAUGACCUUGGACAGCCUUAGAGAUUGUCCCCAGAUUAGGAGAUCAGAAUGGAAAGAAUGGAAAAUGGAAGUUCUCCAACCAACAUUUCUCAUCCUUUGAAGUUAGAAGGGGGGUCCUGGAUCCAUGCCGGGGAUGGCCUCCACCUUCCUUGUCUGAAACAGGCCAGGGAUCCUGCCUCCUCCAGGGUCUUAGCUUAUAUUCCAUAUUUAUUAUUAAUUACCCAGCUGCGGCGAAGCAACUGGCCAUUGCAAUCUGCCCUACGAGGAAGAUCCUAGAAGCAUCUGGGUUGGUCAUUGUCUGUAGGGCACUGUAGGCUGCUGGACCCGAACAUCACAAUCCAAAGGUGUAUUUGGUGUGUGGAGGAUUUGCCCCCUGCAAAUCCUGCCCGUGACCGCGAGACUUAAUUUCUGAUUGGAUCAGCAGGGAGAGGUUAUUAGUAAAGGAUGGCCCAGCCAUCUCUACUCAAUCGAUUGCUUUGGCACACUCAAGAUUCGGUUGUGCAGUCUUGAAAUAGCUUUUUGGUCUGAUCCGGGGGAGGGGUGGGUGGCAAAGAAAUCUGGAAUACUUUCAUUUAAAAAGGUUGGAAGUUAGAAGGGACCUUGGAGGUCUUCUAGACCAACCCCCGCCCCCCCCGCCCCUGCUCAAGCAGGAGAGCCUAUCCUAUUUUGAGACAAACGGUCGCCCAGUCUCUUCUUUGAAAUCCUCCAAUGGUGGAGCACCCACAGUUUAACACCCCACACCGCACCCCCAAAUAUAUAAAUCCUGUCCAAUUAACGACGGUUGCUUCUACUUAGGAAAAAAAAUUCUUGUCGAGGAACCUAAUCCAUUACAAAAAAACCAACAACAACACCCUUUCGGUUGCAACAGAUAGGAAGACGAGAGCUUUCUCAAGCUGAACAUCUGUUCUUCCCCUUCCCGCCUCAUUUUGAUUCGUGGAUAAAUGUCUCUCUAUUUCCGCCCCCCCCCCAUUUCUGCCAAGUAGAAAAGGACAAGGUUAGGUAGAGCAAUACAGCUGUUUCUUUAUCCCCGGACAUCUCCGAAAAAUACUGCAAGCCAAAAGCUCUCUUUGGAUGAGUGACUUCCUAGUGACCAUGAAUGGAUUGGCCAAAGAGUUUAAACUUGAAGGUGACCGCUGGGGUAAGAUCCAGUAAGAUCCUGGGAUCAGUGGUGAAAUCCAGAUUUUUUUUUUACUACCGGUUCUGUGGGCGUGGUUUGUUGGGCGUGGUGUGGCUUAGUAGGUAUGGCAGGGGAAGGAUGCUUCAAAAUCCCCAUUCCCACCCCACUUCAGGGGAAGGAUACUGCAAAAUCCCCAUUCCACUCCUGGGGGAAGGAUACUGCAAAAUCCCCAUUCCCUCCCCACUCCUGAGGGAAGGAUACUGCAAAAUCCCCAUUCCCUCUCCACUCCUGGGGGAAGGAUACUGCAAAAUCUCCAUUCCCUCCCCACUCCAGGGGAAAGAUACUGCAAAAUCCCCAUUCCCUUUCCACUCCUGGGGGAAGGAUAUUGCGAAACCUCCAUUCCUACCCCACUCUGGGGCCAGCCAGAGCUGGAAUUUGCCAGUUCUCCGAACUACUCAGAAUUUCCGCUACCGGUUCUCCAGAACCUGCUGGAUUUCACCCCUGCCUGGGAUCCGGUAACCGGUUGAGCUUUUUCAAGAGAGGCAAGGAAAGCUUGGAAGAGAUACCAUACCUCCGGGGUAGGGACACUUGAAGCUACUUCCAACCUCUGGUAAAUAGGUUUUGGAGCUUUGGGUUUUUCAAAAAGUUGGCAACCCUGUUUUAACCAGAGGUAAGCUGGUACCAGAAGUGUCCCCUGACCCUCUCUUGGGGGGCGGGAGAAAUUUCUCUCAAAGCCACCUUUAAUCUCGGCGACGUUUCCACGUGCCCUAACCCAUCUCCUUGGCCCUUACCUUUAAUAAUAAUAAUAAUAAUAAUAAUAAUAAUAAUAAUAAUAAUAAUAAUAAUAAUAAUAAUAAUAAUAAUAUUUUAAUUUGUAUACCGCCCUUCUCCCGAAGGACUCAGGGCGGUUUACAGCCAAGAUAAAAUACAAUGGAAACACAUACAAUACUAAAAACAGACGUUAAAAAACUUAUUAAAUUUGGUCCAAUUUUAAAAUACAAUCAAACUAUCAAACUAUCAAAUUUGGUAGUUUCUGACCUGUGCUUGGUUCAGACACCCUUGUCUACGGAGGUUCUCAAAUCAUCCAGGUCAUGGUUGUUCCAAAAGUGCUUUUCCAAAAGACAACUGGAUUUUUCCCGGCUUUUGUCCGUGGGAAAAACUUCCGCGACUCUCAGAAGGAGCGCUAACGACCAGAGGACUGCAAAUGAAUAUUAAAUCCUUCCAUUCUCCGCCUUUCAGCUAGAACUGAAGAAGCUUCUUGGAUGAGAAGCGAAACGUUUUCAAGGAAGGGGGGGGGGAAAAACCCCAACAAGGAAGUCCAGUUGCCUUUGGAAAAGCACCUUUGGUUCAGACGCUCGUAGAAACCAGAUCUCCAUCCGAAGGUGAUCAAGUAGGGUUUCCUGCCUGGGCAGGGGGUUGGACUAGAAGGCCUCCAAGGUCCCUUCCAACUCUGUUAUUAUAUAUUAUUAAGGAGUCCUGCCCCAGGUGAGAAAGACUGACACCUGACGGCUGACCUCUGCUCUGGUGCCAACAUCUCCUUGCCAGGUUCACCAAGUUGACUCCGAUUCGCCCUCCCUUGCACGAACAAUCCCGCUCUGCUCGUUUAUUUAUGUGUAAUUUAUUUAUUUAUUUAUCCCCCUGAUCGGCAGACCGAGCAAUACUUCCAAGUUAACGACCCCCUUCCAAGAACCAAACGGUUUGGUUUGGACCACGGAAGACGGCAGGAUGUCUAUUUUAUUUUAUUUUUUUAUUUUAUUUUCAUUUUAUUUUAGAACCGGAUCGUCGUCUUUAAGCUUUCGUGAAUCUCCGACUACAGAACAGAAUAGAGAAUAACAAGAGCUGGAAGGGGCCUUGGAGGUCUACUAGUCCAACCCUCGAUGCUCAGGCAGGAAACCAUAUUCCGUUUCAGACGAAAUGGUCGUUCCAAUCUCUUCUUUAAAACUUCCAGUGCUCACAACUUCUGAAGGCAAAGUUGUUCCACCGAUUCAUUGUUCUAAUUGUCAGGAAUUUUCUUCUUAGCUCUAGAUUGCUUCUCUCCUUGGUUAAGAUUCCAUCCAUUGCUUCUUGUCCUGCCUUCAGGUGCUUUGGAGAAUAGCUUGACCCUUUCUUCUUUUUGGCAGCCCCUCAAAUAUUGGAAGACUGCAAUUAUGUCACCCUUAGUCCUUCCUUUCAUUAAACUAGACCUAUCCAGUUCCUGCAGCCGUUCUUUAUACGUUUUAGCCUCCAGCCCCCUCAUCCUCUCUGUUGCUCUUCUCUGCACUCUUUCUAGAGUCUCAACAGUUCGUCAGUUUCCUUCCUUCCUUCCUUCCUUCCUUCCUUCCUUCCUUCCUUCCUUCCUUCCUUCCUUCCUUCCUUCCUUCCUUCCCUGGCAACGUCUCUUCUGAGAUUAGAACGAGGCAGGUCUAGGAAGAGAUUCCCACCUCUGGGGGGCAGGGGAGUGGCGAUCUCCAGUUUGCAACCCUUCCCGGUGGCUCCUCCACUCCGCCUUCGAUCUCCUACCUCUUUUUACCCACCAAGGUUCCAUGAUCCAGCCCCUCUUGGCCUUCGCCUGAUUGCCUUAUGUUUUUUGCUCAUUGGACAGAGCAGUUAAAAUCCAUCUCGGGCGGGACGGUUAUAUAAAACAAAUCCUUUGGACUGUUUUGCCUGCCCCAUUCGUCCUGGGGCGGGGGGGGGGGGCAGGCCUCUCGCACCCUUGGCUGGUGGAAAACAAGCUGCUGAAUUUCUAGAUCUAAUAGAAGAGAGUCAUUGGGUUGAGUUUGCAGGGAUACCCUUGUUCUGUCCCCCUCCUCAGUCCGGGAGACAGGAGCGAUGGCUUAAUUAGCCGGCAACUAUCAGCUCUGGCAGAAAACUAGCAAGUAUCUGCCAAGUGUCUCUGUUAUCUCUCUUGAUGCCGGUGAGUCAGCCAGGAAACCAGGAACAAACAGGACUUCAGCUCUAAUUCUCUCCCUCUAAGCAGUUGAUUUGCUUGCCAUGAAGUGGUAUAGCAGCCCUUGCUGCUUUUAUAUCCUGUGGGGUGUGGCUCCAUGACUCAGCACUUCCUAGGCCUGCCCCACUCCUGCUUCUGUUGUUCCCGCCUCUCCUGCCUACGAAACCUAGGGUCCAGCCAGGCCUGAUUGCCAUCAGCCGGGUCUGGAGGCGUGGCCUGGGGGGGAAGAGUCAGGGGUCGGAGUCCUCAUUAUCUCUUCCACCUGGCCUGCCUCUGACUCCUGGAGCUGAGCCAGGGAAGCCAGUGCUCCAGAGGUAAAUCCUGAUGGCCCUUCCCCCUCACUUUCCGAGUCACUUUCUGGCAGGGCCCCCGGCUCGGGGGGCGCAGACACAACACCCUCCAAGAAAUAUGAUGGGAAAAGGAAGAAUCCAUCAAGCAACCAGCUGGUCGGUGCAGACUUUUCUUUCCUGAGGAUACAGUGCCCCAUUCCCCACGUCUCAAAAAACAGCUAGUCGGCAACACGAGAACCAGCGCACAACGAAAUCCGAAUCUACCCACUGCUUUCCAAACACAUUCUAAUUUCUAGCCGCCCUGCAGAUCGGUGGCACUGAAUCAUUCACACCCGUUCCCCUUGGCUGAAGGAGCCAGCCGGGGACGAUGAGAAUUGGAAUACAGCCCCUCUUGGAAAAAGGGGGCCCGGCUUUCCCAAAAAAAGUCCCAGAACGGAAAGAAGCUGGGUUGAGAGACAGAGGGAAGGGCGCACAAAAGCUCCGUAGGGCCGCCAAGAUUUGGGCAGAAAUAGAUUCGGUGGCUUUUGGGAAUUUCUUUUGAAUGUAGCAUCUCUUGGUGGUGGUUUUUUUAACGCGUGCGUUUGCUGGAGAUGAGGCACUUGCGUUUCUACUUUGGUGAAAAUUAUCCUCCCACCCCCCACCCCUUCCAUUUUCUCUGCUAUCACUUCUUUGAUUCCAAAAGAACAUUUUUAUUUUAUUUUAUUUUUUGGGUGUAAUCUUGCUCUUGCAAAAUCUCGCCGCAGUGGGUGGGGGUGGGGGCAGGAGGACGCUUGUUGUAAAUUAGCCGAAUAAUUCUUACCUGUCGCUCUCAUUUUGCCGAGAGGUAUGUUUUUCUUCUGCUCGAAGGUCGUGGCACCGGCGACAGUUGUACAAUCAAAGGUCUUCCAGGCAGGGUAGGUUAAGAAGAUUUGAGUGCGCACAGCAGAUGUGUCACUGGGCUUUGAAACACGGUUAUAACCAUUUCAACUUUUUACAAGAGUAGAUUUGUAGCUCGGGGUUCCACUGUGGGGUUCCUUGGCGGUCUCCAAGCUUGUUUGUGUUCUCACAGAUGUUUCGUUACCCAGCUAGGUAGCAUCAUCAGUGCAAACCCCCCACCCCCUUCUAAGCACUGGUGAUGUUGCCUACAGUAGUGGCCAAAAUUGUGGAAACCCUUUCGGGGAAAAGUAUAUUUUCUAAAACUAGCUAAUAACACAACUUUUCUUUUCUUUUUUGGGAGGGGAGUAGUACCAUAAAAUUAUAUAUCAAUGGAAAGAUAAUUUAAUCAAGAAUGUUAACGCAAUGACUUUUAUGAAGGAUUUGCUGUUAGAAUAGCAGUUGCGGUAUAAAGAAGAAAAGUGAAAGGCGUAGAAAAAACGAGAUAUACAAAAAUGAUCCCCAUGUCAGUGAGUACUUCGUUGGGUCACCUUUAGCACGAAUGACGGCCUUACGACGUCUUCCCGUGGAGUGAACCAAGUCUUUGAGUUCUGUAGCUGUUCUAAUGUGAAACCAAGAUUGAAUGUUUGCUUCUAUUAACUGGGUUUUAUUGCUGGGUCACUUCUGACUAACAAGUUUCUUUAGUCGGCUCCAUAGCUUUUCCAUUGGGUGAAGGUCUGGGCCAUUCCAGCAGUGGAAUAGGAUUAUCUUGAAACUCAAAAAAAAAAAAAAAAAGUGGUGUUAUUAGCCAUCAAACCUCAAAAUUACACUUUUCCCAAAAGGUUUCCAACAAUUUCGGCCACUACUGUAGCUGGAUAACGAAACAUCUGUGAGAAAACGACCAAGCUCGGAGAACACCAAAGAACUCACAAUGUCAACUCGUCUUUUGCUAUCUUCAAUUUUGUUUCUUUUUGGUUUUUUUGUGCCUUUGAGUUGGUCUUUAACUCCUGGAAUUUGCCUGGAGAAAUCCUGGUAGUUUUCUCAGCAAAACUGGUCAGAAUUGGUCUACCCAGGGCUGAGAAGAGAGAGAAAGAGAAUAACUAGCCCAAAGUCACCCCGUUGGCUUUGCGUCUCAGGCAGUCUAGAACUCCCAGCCUCCUGGUUUUUCUAGCCUGAUGCCUUACCCUCUGCCCCAAACUGGGUCUCCGUUGCUGCCGCUCGACACCUGACCGCAAAUUUGCCAAGCGUUUUUUACCGCUUCCCCAAAAAAGAGAGAGAGAGAGAGAGAGACUCUUGUGAUGUCCCCAAUUCAAAUGUUGCCUUGAAGCCGAGUCUCCUAACUGAAAAAAAAAAGUGCCCCCCACCCAUUAAACCGGGAUUAAUCCCUCCCACCAUCUUCAUGGUGAAAAACGGUGCUGUGUUUGUGCGAUGACUGCAUCGCCCCUUUUGAAAUGGCGGUGAUAGUAGAAAAUUCAUCCAUCCGGUAUCGGGGGCGGGCGGGUUGUUGUUGUUUUUUCUUUCCCCAAAGGCAAUUUUGGGAAAUCACAAAAACCAAACGCAGAGAAGGAAAACUGGUUAAAUUUUGAUGCUUUUACCCAAAAGACCAUGACUCUUAUGUAAUGUUCUCCCAGCCGUGGUUAAUUCUGAUUUUCAUUCACGCGGGCAACUCUUUCGCCGUGGCUUGACGGAUGAAGCCUCUUAGCAGGGCUUUGCUACCGGUUCGCAAAUGUGAGUGUGCGCAUAUGGGCAGAGUGUCAAAAACCAGGACGUGAUGACAUCCGGGCAGGUGGGCGGAGCCUCCCACAUCCGCCGCUACCGGUUCGCGCGAACCGGAGUGAACCAGCUGAAUUCCACCGCUUAGGUGAAACUUGGUGGUCUUUGCUCAUCCAGCCACACAAAAUACGGACCACCAGGUUUUCCUGCUGAAAGGAGAUUGUAGGCGACGGUUAUUAAUCGCUCUUCUCUCCCGUUACUGAAAGAAUGUGCAAUCAGGGUAGUGUGUUGUGUUGUUUUGUUUUUUUAAAAAAGAAGGAUGAUCUGUGCUUAAACUUAAGAGGUGGUAGAAUUUACUAUACCCAUGGACUGCUUUUCCACUUCGCCUCCCAACACACGCUCUUACUCUCGAACAACGAAACCAGGUUAACCUUUUCUGGCCUGGCACCUGGUACAAGUUAACCAUACUCCCCUUUCAGCACCGGCCCAUGCUGGUUGGGGAUGCUGGGAGUUGUAGUCUUAGGAGAUGGAGGGAGGCCGAUCUGCCUUGUUUUGUUUUGUUUUGUUUCCUGUCUUCCUUUUCAGCCGAAGGCUGAGCAGCGUUUUUUUUUUCCCUGCCCGGUAAGACCUUCCGCUGUUGCAAAUAAAAAGAAAAGAAGAAGGGAGAAAACGGCACCUAGCAAAACGAACCACCUUGGCUCCGAAAAUGUGGCGCAAAACGUUUUGCCUCUUUUUCAAGAUCGCAGCCACAAUUGUAGCGUUGGACGUUAUUACACCCUGAUCUGCUGUGGUCGGCUUUGCACGUCUGUUCCUGUUUGUGCCAUUGGACUUGGUGUACUUAAAUUUUUCCAUGUUUUCCCUGAGGUAUUCUGAUGUCUCCAGAGGAAGAACUCUUCCUCCUCCUUUCCUCCCUUCUUCAUCCCUCCUCCUUCUCCUCCUUCCUCUUUCUUUAUUCCUCAUCUCUUCCCUUCUCCUCCUCUUUCUCCUCCUCCUCCUUUCUUCCCUUCUCCUCCUCCUCAUCCCCUCUAUCUUCUCCUUUCUUCCCUCCUCCUCCUCUCCCCUCCCUCCCUCCCUCCCUUCCUCUUUCUCCGUUCCUCCUCCUCCUCGUUUCUUCCCUUCUCCUUCUCCUUCUCUAUUUCUUCUGCUCCUGUUCUUCUUCCUUCUUCCUUCUUCUCCUUCCUUCUUCCCCGCCUUCCUCCUCCAUCUUCCCCUCUUCCCCUUCUCUUCCAAGUCUUCUUCUUCUUCUUCCUCCUCCUCCUCCCUCCCUCCCUCCCUUCCUUCCUCUUUCUCCGUUCCUCCUCCUCGUUUCUUCCCUUCUCCUCCUCCUUCUCUACUCCUUCUGCUCCUUUUCUUCUUCCUUCUUCCUUCUUCUCCUUCUUUCUUCCCCUCCUUCCUUCUCCAUCUUCCCCUUCUCUUCCAAGUCUCCUCCUCCUCCUCCUCCUCCUCCUCCUCCUCCUCCUCCUCCUCCUCCUCCUCCUCCUCCUCCUCCUCCUCCUCCUCCUCCUAAGUUGGAGGUGGGAGAGAGCGGGUGCUUUUGGCAAGAAUGACUUGCUAACAUUUACAAAAUAACUCCUCUCGCCGGACAGAAGGCACUCUGAAGCUGAUGCGUGUACAAAUCCGUUUGUCGUCGACACUGGUUGCUUGUUUUCCUGUCUUCUCUUUUCUUUCCAAAGAGCGUCCUCCAGCAUUAUCUGGCACGAGUUAGGUGUGAUUCCCCCUGUGCCCCCCCCAACUCCCCAAAGCAACAGAUGGAGAAGGAAGGCAGAUUCGGCUAACCUCCGUUCCACCUUCCCCUCCCUCCCCCACAUCUCCCCUUUCUUGUUAUGGGGUGUGAAAUCAUGUUUGGAUGAUCCAAGCGCCUUAGAAGAAGAAUCAGGGAGGGGACGGACGGGGGAACGACAACCGAUUUAUUGGCAGGAAGGAGCCGGGAGAAAUCGAGGUGAUGUUUUACCGCUUAAAUCUACGAUACCGAAAUCUCACUCUUGCGGAUUUACUGACGAGUAAAGGUGUCAGCCGCUCCUUUCCAGGGCCAGCUGUUGCUCACACACUCACCUCUGGUUGAUCUCACCGGAGAUGGAUCCCAUGGCGGAUGAUUUAGAAAAUGCAAGUUAAAAGUGGCUGUGAAGAUUCUCAAGUCAACCACGUCGCAGUUGUAUCAGAAGUGAUUAUAUAUAUAGUGAUAUAUAUAUAUAUAUAUGGAUUAUAUAUACAUAUAUAUGUAGGUCUUUGGUUAUUCGGGUUUUCUCCCGUAUAAAAUUGGAAGUGUCUUGGCGACGUUUCGACGAAAUCUCAUUCGUCAUCUUCAGGCUGGUGUUUACAGCUUCGUGCUUCUAGGAGCUCUUAUGCUCACAUAAGAACAAAGCCAAAGCCUGAAGAUGAUGAGUGAGAUCUCAUCAAAACGUUGCCGAAAUACUUCCAAUCUUACACGGGAAAAGACCCGAACAUACCAAAACCUGCAUAUAUAUAUAUAUUUGAAAAGGCCACUGGAUGGAUUUUUUUCCCCCCUGAGGAGAAAGAAGACGUUUCACUUCCCAUCCUGGAAGCUUCAUCAGUUCUAUUGCAUGGUGUGGGAGAUGGAAGGGCAGUUUUUGACUGUUGAGAUUAGUUGGCAGGGGAAGAGGAAUGAUAGAAUGAUAGGAGGUGGGGGGUGAGAAUGGAAAAAUUGUGCUUUCUUUGCAGGCAACUGGUCUGAGAUGACCCUGAGGUCACGAAUAAAACUCCCAAGUAACAACAACGGCUCUCAAGAGUUGUUAUCAAUCCUCUCCCCCAAUUCUCUCUGCUCGAUUUGUAGCUCUUGUAGCUCGGGGUUGAACUGUGGGGUCCCUCGUGCUCUCUGAGCUUGGUUGUUUCCUUGGAGACGUUUCAUUACCCAGCUAGGUAACAUCAUCAGUGCUAGAAGGGAGUGGGGUCUGUGGAAUGGAAGAGGAGAAUGACUGUGAAUGUCCUUGGUGCUCGCUGAGCUUGGUUGUUUUCUUGCAGAUGUCUCAUUACCCAGCCAGGUAACAUUAUCAGUGCUAAAGAGGGAGGAAAACUCUGGGGUCCUGGUGCUCUCUGAGCUUGGUUGUUUUCCUUGGAGACGUUUCAUUACCCAGCUAGGUAACCUCAUCAGUGCUAGAAGAGAGAAGACAACUGUAUAUAAAAAGAACAAAUCCCCUCCCUUCUAGCACUGAGGAUAUUACCUAGCUGGGUAAUUAAACGUCUGCAAGAAAACCACCAAGCUGAGAGAGCAUCAAAGACCCCGCAGUCCUCUUCCUCCUCCUCCUCCUCCUCCCUUCUAGCACUGAUGGUGUUACCUAGUUGGUUAAUGAAAAGUCUACAAGAAAACAACAAGGCUCAGAGAACACCCAACAACCUCACAACUCUCAACUCCACUUCGCUGUCUUUAAUGUUGUUUUUUGUUGUGCCUUUGAGUCAGUGGUGGGUUCUAACCGGUGUUAACCACCGGCUCGCUUCGCGCAAGCGCAUUGACUUACUGAGCAGCUGAGGCAUGGCAAUCUACUCGGCCGUGCCUUUCAGCUGGGCUAAAAACGAAGGAAUAAAGGUAGGCGUAGCGCAGGGGCAUAGCCCAGAUGACGGUCGGAGCGAACCGGUUUGCUGUCGCAUCAAGAUCUCCGCUACCGGCUCUCCCGAACCGGGGAGAACCGGUAGCAACCGACCACUGCUUUGAGUUCAAUCUUAACUCCUGGAACUUCCCGGAGAAAUCCUGGCAAUUUUCUUGGCAAGAUUUCAGAACUCGCCUCUUUCUUCCCAAAGCUGAGAGCGAGUAACUGGCCCAAAGUCACCCAGGUGGACCCUGAGGUCACAGAUAAAACCCCGAGUAACCACAACGGCUCUUGGGGAGUGUCAAGGCCAGGUAACCACAAAGAAAACACAACUUUCCCAUUCUCACACAUCCCCUCACCCGCUAUCCUGUCAGAACCUGCCGUUCCCCCUCCUCCCCCAAUUCAUCUCGGCUGUCAAUCCCUUGCCCUUCCAUCUCCUGCAACCGUCCAAUAGAACGGAUGAAGCUUCCAGGAUAGGAAGCGAAACCUCUUUUUUCCUCCCCACCCCCUCAAAAUAUCAACCCAGUUGCCUUUUUUUGCCCCCACCCAAAAAAUAAUUAUUUAUUUCAAAAAUUUAAAAAAACAACCCUCACUUUUGAUACAAGUUAAAAGUGGAAUGGUCUCUUCACCACGCCAUGCUCCAUGGGUCGAUCAGAGAAUUAAAUCACCCGAAAUCUUUUUUUGGGGCUUAAAUCUCCCAUUCCUGCCCCUUCCCCCUUCUCGACGCCUCUCAGAUCAUGGCUUUACUCACACCUAACUUUGUUUGCUGGAUUGUGCCCCUUUGACUGUUAACUCUUAACUAGGAUUUUGUACUUUUCAAUGAUUCUGUGCUGUCAGCCUGUGGCUUCUCCUCUUGUCAGUCUCAAAAGUUUAAAUUAUACCACCAAGUGUCUUAAACUUAAUUGUAUUGGCCAUUGUUUUUUCAAUGCUAUGAGUAAAUAAUGUAUUAUUUUCCUUUUUUUUUCUUCUUCUUCUUCCUGUGUGUUUUCAAAGCUUGUAAAAAAAAACAAAAAAACACAGAGAGAGCAAGAGCGCGCGAGAGAAUCAUACUUUGAAUAUAAUGGCAAACAUUUGUUCUGAAAGUUCCAUAGACUUUCACAGCUGUAAAAAAAAUCAACUGUUGGGGUAUUUUUUUUUUCCUUCCUUGAUAUGUAAUAAAUAUUUAUGACAUUUGAUAAUGCGGUUUUAUCCUUGGUUUCUUCCCCUGGAGUGUGCUUGUAAUUCACGAGCGCCUCAGAACUGUUCUCGCUCCUCCCUGAACUUUUGAAUACCGAAGAGGAGAGAAAAAUACACCUUUCGCCUUUUGUGAAUACACACACACAACACACACAUCCUGAUCCUUUUUUUCCUGGGGCCACAUUUGACCAUGUAUCCUCACAAUUUCCCCUGGGGAAAUGAACAGUGCUCAAAAGGAAGCUGUUUUUAUUGCUUGAGCCUACAAACAGGAAUCUUAAAAGUUAAAAUUCCCUUCGCACAUAUUUGCUACUCAUUCCAGACUCUAGGGGGCGGUGCUCA
Molecule: RNA transcript, 16097 nt
Organism: Ahaetulla prasina
Lineage: Eukaryota; Metazoa; Chordata; Lepidosauria; Squamata; Colubridae
Gene: GARNL3
Gene name: GTPase activating Rap/RanGAP domain like 3
Exons: 30
Source: RefSeq, a predicted model, not a curated record